This is a non-coding RNA of Macaca mulatta (Rhesus monkey), 426 nucleotides long. Lineage: Eukaryota; Metazoa; Chordata; Mammalia; Primates; Cercopithecidae. The record is from RefSeq and is a predicted model, not a curated record.
CUUCCUCCUUUAACCUCAGAGAGGAGGCGGGUCUUCCGGGCUUGGAGGCGGGCUUACCACCUCUGAUGUGAGUGACAGGCCCACGGGCCACUCCUUUUCUCCACAGGGCUGCAGCCCAUGGGUAAACCAACCCUGACGUGGCCGAUCUGUUCCCUUGGCAACAGGGCUCUCAAGGGCUUGACCUAGUAACCUUGACCUUUUUCCUUUGUUUCCCUGGCAAUGAAAAUUCCUAGCCAUCAGACCAUUCCUGAGAAUCUUACUAAUCUUCGUAAUAACUGGAUGCAGAGCUAGAAGAAACCUUAGGAAUGCUUUCAACUUUUGCAGAUGAGGAAAGAAGCUCAAGACUUGCCCACAGCCAAAUGAACCUCAUGGGAGAGUCUGGAUUAGUUCAGAGACCUCCCAUUUCAGGCAUACCUUUCCAUUUAA